This 253-nucleotide ribosomal RNA is filed under the name uncultured bacterium. Its description in RNAcentral is "partial 16S ribosomal RNA". It matches the Rfam family "Bacterial small subunit ribosomal RNA", at positions 524 to 776 of the family's 1533-position model. The record is from RNAcentral.
UACGGGGGGGGCAAGCGUUGUUUGGAAUUACUGGGCGUAAAGGGUUUGUAGGUGGCUUGCUAAGUCAGACGUGAAAUCCCUCAGCUUAACUGGGGAACUGCGUCUGAGACUGGUGAGCUUGAGUGCAGGAGAGGAACGCGGAAUUCCAGGUGUAGCGGUGAAAUGCGUAGAUAUCUGGAGGAACACCGGUGGCGAAGGCGGCGUUCUGGACUGCAACUGACACUGAGGAACGAAAGCCAGGGGAGCAAACGGG